UACGUAGGGGGCAAGCGUUGUCCGGAUUUAUUGGGCGUAAAGAGCGUGUAGGCGGUUUGGUAGGUCCGCUGUGAAAACUCGAGGCUCAACCUCGAGACGCCGGUGGAAACCAUCAGACUAGAGUCCGGAAGAGGAGAGUGGAAUUCCUGGUGUAGCGGUGAAAUGCGCAGAUAUCAGGAGGAACACCGGUGGCGAAGGCGGGACUCUGGGCCGAUACUGACGCUGAGGAGCGAAAGCGUGGGGAGCAAACAGG
RNAcentral lists this ribosomal RNA (253 nucleotides) under uncultured bacterium. RNAcentral describes it as "partial 16S ribosomal RNA". It matches the Rfam family "Bacterial small subunit ribosomal RNA", at positions 524 to 776 of the family's 1533-position model. The record is from RNAcentral.